AGUGGCGAACGGGUGAGUAAAGUAUCGGAACGUGCCCCGUCGUGGGGGAUAACGUAGCGAAUGUUACGCUAAUACCGCAUACGAUCUAUGGAUGAAAGCGGGGGAUCGCAAGACCUCGCGCGAUUGGAGCGGCCGAUAUCAAAUUAGGUAGUUGGUGGGGUAAAGGCUCACCAAGCCGACGAUCUGUAGCUGGUCUGAGAGGACCACCAUCCACACUGGGACUGAGACACGGCCCAUACUCCUACGGGAGGCAGCAGUGGGGAAUUUUGGACAAUGGGCGCAAGCCUGAUCCAGCCAUGCCGCGUGCAGGAUGAAGGCCUUCGGGUUGUAAACUGCUUUUGUACGGAACGAAGAGGUUUGGCCUAAUAAGCUGAUCUCAUGACGGUACCGUAAGAAUAAGCACCGGCUAACUACGUGCCAGCAGCCGCGGUAAUACGUAGGGUGCGAGCGUUAAUCGGAAUUACUGGGCGUACAGCGUGCGCAGGCGGUUAUGUAAGACAGAUGUGAAAUCCCCGGGCUCAGCCUGCGAACUGCAUUAGUGACUGCAUAGCUGGAGUACGGCAGAGGGGGAUGGAAUUCCGCGUGUAGCAGUGAAAUGCGUAGAUAUGCGGGAGGAACACCGAUGGCGAAUGCUCUCCCCCUGCGCCUGUACUGACGCUCAUGCACGAAAGCGUGGG
RNAcentral lists this ribosomal RNA (677 nucleotides) under uncultured Curvibacter sp. RNAcentral describes it as "bacterial SSU rRNA". It matches the Rfam family "Bacterial small subunit ribosomal RNA", at positions 94 to 765 of the family's 1533-position model. The record is from RNAcentral. Lineage: Bacteria; Pseudomonadati; Pseudomonadota; Betaproteobacteria; Burkholderiales; Comamonadaceae.